This 1083-nucleotide long non-coding RNA is filed under the name Bemisia tabaci. RNAcentral describes it as "lncRNA ENSSSA3NGG008875". Lineage: Eukaryota; Metazoa; Arthropoda; Insecta; Hemiptera; Aleyrodidae. The record is from RNAcentral.
AUUUUUUACCAGCGUUUUAGGGUAUCAUGAGGUAUGGUUUGAGCCCGCUUGCAGAAAAAUCUCCGCAGUCCCAAAUUGUGCCAAAAAACGGUCGUUUGUGGGGUCGCUAUUUCUACUUUUAACUCUGUUUUUCCUUCUGAAUUUUUUGGUAGAACCGCCAUCCUGACCAAUUGGUAAAAUUUGGAUUCCUCUGUUAAAUGCAAGUGGGAUGCCAUGGAGUAAAUUCUAAAUGAGCUAUUUUUGGGAUAGAGCAUUGUGAUCUAUCUUGAUUAUUGAUUAUACUCUGUACAUAUUUCUUUCUGCAAUUAAGUGAUGAAUGAAAUGAGAUUUUAAGAAUAAAUUGAUGAGAACCAUGUGGUUAAGUUAAGAAAAGAAACCUAAUAGUUUUAUUUGAACCAGAACAUUGAGUUUUUGAUUAAUUGAGAAAAAGUAGUGAGGCCAAAUAUCAAAUGAAGAGACGUCGACCACUCCUAAAAAAAGAUAAAGGAAAAAAAAUUAGUUUUUUCGUACUUGCAGAUUUAGUAUAGGUAUAUUUUGACUCAUUUUUUUCUCCGCAGCCACACAAGAUAAAAUAAGAUAUUUUAAUUCAUCUCAUUGUUUACGCUUUUGGUUGAAUCAUUUUUCAGACUGUGAAAACACAUCAACUGGAACCAUAUCUCCAAACCAGGGAAACUCAAAGGAAUGUGCACUCCCAAAGACUGGCCAGUUUUAGAUCCUUACCAACGAAUCAAACAACUAGAGCUGAAUAUAAAGUCCUUGCAGGCGCAACACUUAAUUAUGCUGACAAGUCUCCAUGAUGAAAUUGAGUUGCUUCGGCAGCAAAAUAAAGAGUUGCAAUUCCAGUUAGUUUUUAAGAGUAACUCAAGUGCCGAAACUUUCAAUCUCAUGGCAACAAAAUGUUCCUCAAAUUUCAGUUCAGUGGUAAGCGAGAGCCAUUUGACGAGUGCAGACAGUGAAAGGAAAAAAAAGGAGUCUUGUGAACUUAAAUUAUUGAGGACUAUGGAUUUGUUGGAAGAAGCCAACAUUAAAAACUCGAGUCUUACUGCCAUUAUGAAGAUCAAAAGUUACAGAUUGCUCAUUUAA